AGCACGGGCUUCGGCCUGGUGGCGAGUGGCGAACGGGUGAGUAAUACAUCGGAACGUGCCCUGUAGUGGGGGAUAACUAGUCGAAAGAUUAGCUAAUACCGCAUACGACCUGAGGGUGAAAGCGGGGGACCGUAAGGCCUCGCGCUACAGGAGCGGCCGAUGUCUGAUUAGCUAGUUGGUGGGGUAAAAGCCUACCAAGGCGACGAUCAGUAGCUGGUCUGAGAGGACGAUCAGCCACACUGGGACUGAGACACGGCCCA
RNAcentral lists this ribosomal RNA (260 nucleotides) under Cupriavidus sp. Is-C088. RNAcentral's name for it is "partial 16S ribosomal RNA". It matches the Rfam family "Bacterial small subunit ribosomal RNA", at positions 71 to 333 of the family's 1533-position model. The record is from RNAcentral. Lineage: Bacteria; Pseudomonadati; Pseudomonadota; Betaproteobacteria; Burkholderiales; Burkholderiaceae.